CGGGACGGGGUGGAGUAAUGUCUGGGGAAACUGCCUGAUGGAGGGGGGUAACUACUGGAAACGGUAGCUAAUACCGCAUAACGUCGCAAGACCAAAGAGGGGGACCUUCGGGCCUCUUGCCAUCGGAUGUGCCCAGAUGGGAUUAGCUAGUAGGUGGGGUAACGGCUCACCUAGGCGACGAUCCCUAGCUGGUCUGAGAGGAUGACCAGCCACACUGGAACUGAGACACGGUCCAG
This 236-nucleotide ribosomal RNA is filed under the name uncultured bacterium. Its description in RNAcentral is "partial 16S ribosomal RNA". It matches the Rfam family "Bacterial small subunit ribosomal RNA", at positions 104 to 334 of the family's 1533-position model. The record is from RNAcentral.